UGAAGGGAGCUUGCUCCCUGAUUUAGCGGCGGACGGGUGAGUAAUGCCUAGGAAUCUGCCUGGUAGUGGGGGAUAACGUUCCGAAAGGAACGCUAAUACCGCAUACGUCCUACGGGAGAAAGCAGGGGACCUUCGGGCCUUGCGCUAUCAGAUGAGCCUAGGUCGGAUUAGCUAGUUGGUGAGGUAAUGGCUCACCAAGGCGACGAUCCGUAACUGGUCUGAGAGGAUGAUCAGUCACACUGGAACUGAGACACGGUCCAGACUCCUACGGGAGGCAGCAGUGGGGAAUAUUGGACAAUGGGCGAAAGCCUGAUCCAGCCAUGCCGCGUGUGUGAAGAAGGUCUUCGGAUUGUAAAGCACUUUAAGUUGGGAGGAAGGGCAGUAAGCUAAUACCUUGCUGUUUUGACGUUACCGACAGAAUAAGCACCGGCUAACUUCGUGCCAGCAGCCGCGGUAAUACGAAGGGUGCAAGCGUUAAUCGGAAUUACUGGGCGUAAAGCGCGCGUAGGUGGUUCGUUAAGUUGGAUGUGAAAGCCCCGGGCUCAACCUGGGAACUG
RNAcentral lists this ribosomal RNA (557 nucleotides) under bacterium RBM-B18. Its description in RNAcentral is "bacterial SSU rRNA". It matches the Rfam family "Bacterial small subunit ribosomal RNA", at positions 70 to 623 of the family's 1533-position model. The record is from RNAcentral.